RNAcentral lists this ribosomal RNA (490 nucleotides) under uncultured bacterium. RNAcentral describes it as "partial 16S ribosomal RNA". It matches the Rfam family "Bacterial small subunit ribosomal RNA", at positions 28 to 507 of the family's 1533-position model. The record is from RNAcentral.
GAUGAACGCUAGCGAUAGGCUUAACACAUGCCAGUCGAGGGGCAGCAUGGUCUUAGCUUGCUAAGACUGAUGGCGACCGGCGCACGGGUGCGUAACGCGUAUGCAACUUGCCUCACAGAGGGGGAUAACCCGUCGAAAGACGGGCUAAUACCGCGUACACUCCAUCUUGGGCAUCCAAGGUAGAGGAAAUGAAAUUCGCUGUGAGAUAGGCAUGCGUCCCAUUAGCUAGUUGGUGAGGUAACGGCUCACCAAGGCGACGAUGGGUAGGGGAACUGAGAGGUUGAACCCCCACACUGGUACUGAGACACGGACCAGACUCCUACGGGAGGCAGCAGUGAGGAAGAUUGGUCAAUGGGCGAGAGCCUGAACCAGCCAAGUCGCGUGAAGGAUGACUGUCUUAUGGAUUGUAAACUUCUUUUAUACGGGAAUAACAAGAGUCACGUGUGACUACCUGCAUGUACCGUAUGAAUAAGCAUCGACUAACUCCGUG